RNAcentral lists this ribosomal RNA (538 nucleotides) under uncultured Propionibacterium sp. Its description in RNAcentral is "partial 16S ribosomal RNA". The record is from RNAcentral. Lineage: Bacteria; Bacillati; Actinomycetota; Actinomycetes; Propionibacteriales; Propionibacteriaceae.
ACUCCCCAGGCGGGGUACUUAAAGCGUUAGCUACGGCACGGAACCCGUGGAAUGGACCCCACACCUAGUACCCACCGUUUACAGCGUGGACUACCAGGGUAUCUAAGCCUGUUCGCUCCCCACGCUUUCGCUCCUCAGCGUCAGGAAAGGCCCAGAGAACCGCCUUCGCCACUGGUGUUCCUCCUGAUAUCUGCGCAUUCCACCGCUCCACCAGGAAUUCCAUUCUCCCCUACCUUCCUCAAGUCAACCCGUAUCGAAAGCACGCUCAGGGUUAAGCCCCAAGAUUACACUCCCGACGCGAUCAACCACCUACGAGCCCUUUACGCCCAAUAAAUCCGGACAACGCUCGCACCCUACGUAUCACCGCGGCUGCUGGCACGUAGUUAGCCGGUGCUUCUUUACCCAUUACCGUCACUCACGCUUCGUCACAGGCGAAAGCGGUUUACAACCCGAAGGCCGUCAUCCCGCACGCGGCGUUGCUGCAUCAGGCUUCCGCCCAUUGUGCAAUAUUCCCCACUGCUGCCUCCCGUAGGAGUCU